This 69-nucleotide transfer RNA is filed under the name Ictidomys tridecemlineatus (thirteen-lined ground squirrel). Its description in RNAcentral is "Spermophilus tridecemlineatus (thirteen-lined ground squirrel) tRNA". It matches the Rfam family "tRNA". From Rfam's summary of the family: Transfer RNA (tRNA) molecules are approximately 80 nucleotides in length. Their secondary structure includes four short double-helical elements and three loops (D, anti-codon, and T loops). The record is from Rfam by way of RNAcentral. Lineage: Eukaryota; Metazoa; Chordata; Mammalia; Rodentia; Sciuridae.
UGGGGUGUAGCCCAGCAGUAGAGCACUUAACUGGUAUGCAAGGUCCUGGGUUCAUUCCCAGCACCACAA